UACGGAGGAGGCAAGCGUUAUCCGGAAUUAUUGGGCGUAAAGCGUCCGUAGGUGGGUGAGGAAGUCUGCUGUUAAAGAGUGAGGCUUAACCUCAUAAGGGCAGUGGAAACUCUUCGUCUAGAGUGCGACAGAGGCAAGGGGAAUUCCUAGUGUAGCGGUGAAAUGCGUAGAGAUUAGGAAGAACACCGGUGGCGAAAGCGCCUUGCUGGGUCUGCACUGACACUGAGGGACGAAAGCUAGGGGAGCGAAAGGG
RNAcentral lists this ribosomal RNA (253 nucleotides) under uncultured bacterium. RNAcentral describes it as "partial 16S ribosomal RNA". It matches the Rfam family "Bacterial small subunit ribosomal RNA", at positions 524 to 776 of the family's 1533-position model. The record is from RNAcentral.